RNAcentral lists this long non-coding RNA (225 nucleotides) under Lathyrus oleraceus (garden pea). RNAcentral describes it as "Pisum sativum (pea) long non-coding RNA (PSAT_LNC020342)". The record is from RNAcentral. Lineage: Eukaryota; Viridiplantae; Streptophyta; Magnoliopsida; Fabales; Fabaceae.
AAAAGUAGAAAAUAGUAUUUGUUCAAGGUUUGUGUUCUUUACAUAAUCUAUUGUCUUUAUACAAAUAAAUCCUUUGUUAAUUCUAUAUAAGAAAACAAAUAAAUCUGAAGCAAUAGAGAACAUAUUGUAAUAUAAGGAUAUGCAACCUAGGUAAAACACCUUUUUUAACCGACUUAAAAGGGGUUUUUCAUAAUAGUGAAAUCUCUCUCUAGAUGCCAGACGCAC